Molecule: long non-coding RNA, 1487 nt
Filed under: Sus scrofa (pig)
Lineage: Eukaryota; Metazoa; Chordata; Mammalia; Artiodactyla; Suidae
Description: lncRNA (ENSSSCG00040029681.1)
Source: RNAcentral
AUUCCCAGCUUGGGAUGUGGAAGAACACAAUGACGUUUUCACACUGAGGAUUGGGUGGGGUGGGGCAGAAGCCCCAGCUAGAGCUUUGGGAUAAGGCAGGUGAUUAAGCCUGCUUGGAAGCCCACCUCCUCCAGAGUUAGCACGGUAAGUUUACAACACAUGCAUUUUUUUUUUCUUUCCUCUCAUGCCAGUUUUCCGAAGAAAUCCAUUUUUUCCAAAUGUCAUAACUGAAUUUAAACCAUUUUUUCCAACUCACUUCCUUCCGCACUGCAUCUCUAUCCUUCUCCAGCGUCACUUUGGGGAGGAGGGGUCAGCUGGAGAACACUUCCAAGCUGUCUUUUAGGAGGUGUCAGCCACGAAAACGUGGACUCGCCACCACUAAAGUGGCUCCCCGCCCCUUAGCGUCGCGCCUCCACUGCCACCAAUGUGCCAGGAGACCCAGCUCUCCCCACCCCGCAGUCGGGAAACCUGCAACUCCUCCCCCACGCCCCCCGACUCAGCGGCUUGGCGGGCGAUGUCUCUGGAGCACGUGCACCCAUUCUAAUUUUUUAUGCUUUGUUAUUCUGUCAAUUUCUUAAUCUAUUUAUGCCGGCUUUAUUUUUAGUUGUGCCUAUUGUGACAGCAAAUCCUCAAAUUCCCUUGGUUGUUUUCGGAAAAUAGACGUUUCCAAACCGUAAUGUAGACCCCAAAUAAAACGCUGUGAGCCUCGGGCGGGUCCUGAGCAUCCGCAGCAGCCGGCCCCUUUUAGAGCCGCGCCCAGUUGCCCCUCGCAGGGCAGCCGGGGAGGCGGCAAGGAGAGCCAGUCCAGGUCAUGUUUGGAUGAGCAGCUCUGGGUUUCGCUGAAAAUGCUCAUUUCUUCUCCUUUUGGAGAAUUUCUUCAAACAUUAAUACAUUUCCUCCCCUCUCCCUAUCUUUUGUUGGCAACCGAUAAAAUAUGCAAAUGAUACAGAAACCAAUUAAUUUUUAGAAGGUUGCAGCUGUUUUGCUGUAUUUACAAGACACGAUGGGCACAUUUAGCAUGUGUGUGUGUGUGGAUGGAUGUGCAAGAGUGCGUAGGCUCAUGUGUUCGCAAGCACAUGUGGAAGGCUCCGCUCAUCACAGACGCGUUCCCUCCAGAUAUGAGCCAUCGCUCAGCCAUGCACAGGUCAUCGGAUCACUUUCCAAGUGCUUUUCCUGCCGGGGAACUGCGACCAGAGUAUGUCCAUAACACAGUGAAGUUUCACCUUCUCUGCCCGUGGAGAGGCGCAGGUGCCCCACUGGCCUUCUUCCGCCAGGCUGUGUCCUUCUGGCCACUCUCCAGGCAAGGGCUCCAGUGUCUUAAGCCCUGGGGACAUCGAGGGUCAUAGCUGCCAGUCCCACUGGUAGAACCUGGUUAGAUUUAGAGCUCAUAAUGACAAGCAUCAAAGUCUUUCUCUUCUGGUGGUUUUCAAAAGGUCACAAUAAACCUGACCCCCUUGCUGUACAGUGGGAAAAUAAAAAAAAAAAAA